AAAGCGUGCGCAGGCGGUUUUGUAAGUCAGAUGUGAAAUCCCCGAGCUCAACUUGGGAACUGCGUUUGAAACUACAAGGCUAGAGUAUGGUAGAGGGGGGUAGAAUUCCACGUGUAGCAGUGAAAUGCGUAGAGAUGUGGAGGAAUACCAAUGGCGAAGGCAGCCCCCUGGACUAAUACUGACGCUCAUGCACGAAAGCGUGGGGAGCAAACAGGAUUAGAUACCCUGGU
This 230-nucleotide ribosomal RNA is filed under the name uncultured bacterium. RNAcentral describes it as "partial 16S ribosomal RNA". It matches the Rfam family "Bacterial small subunit ribosomal RNA", at positions 562 to 791 of the family's 1533-position model. The record is from RNAcentral.